Molecule: ribosomal RNA, 119 nt
Organism: Scophthalmus maximus (turbot)
Lineage: Eukaryota; Metazoa; Chordata; Actinopteri; Pleuronectiformes; Scophthalmidae
Source: Ensembl
GCUUACGGCCACACCGCCUGGUUCACGCCUGAUCUCGUUUGAUCUCGGAAGCUAAGAAAGGUUGGGCCUGGUUAAUACUUGGAUGGGAGACCGCCUGGGAAUACCAGGUGCUGUAAGCU